This 193-nucleotide microRNA precursor is filed under the name Oryza sativa Japonica Group (Japanese rice). RNAcentral's name for it is "MIR812 microRNA precursor family". It matches the Rfam family "MIR812 microRNA precursor family". Lineage: Eukaryota; Viridiplantae; Streptophyta; Magnoliopsida; Poales; Poaceae. The record is from Rfam by way of RNAcentral.
AAAAGGACAAACCCUGGGUUUCCGUGUUCAAUUUUGAUUAUCCGUCUUAUAUGAAAUUUUUUAUAAUUCGUAUUUUUAUUGUUGUUAGAUGAUAAAACAUGAUUAAUAUUUUAUGCGUGACUUGUCUUUUUAAUUUUUUUCAUAAUUUUUUCAAAUAAGACGGACGGUCAAAUGUUAUACACGAAAACUAAAG